GCGGGCGUAGCUCAAUGGUAGAGCUGCCGCCUUCCAAGCCGAUGACGAGGGUUCGAUUCCCUUCGCCCGCUCCA
This 74-nucleotide transfer RNA is filed under the name Duganella sp. OV458. RNAcentral's name for it is "tRNA_Gly_TCC". It matches the Rfam family "tRNA". Rfam says of the family: Transfer RNA (tRNA) molecules are approximately 80 nucleotides in length. Their secondary structure includes four short double-helical elements and three loops (D, anti-codon, and T loops). Lineage: Bacteria; Pseudomonadati; Pseudomonadota; Betaproteobacteria; Burkholderiales; Oxalobacteraceae. The record is from RNAcentral.